GGCGCAUUGUGCUCUGUGGGACCCAGUUUGGGAAAAGCUGCCCUACUGGCUGGUCUGCAAACAGCUGCCGAGACAGAGCAGGGGGUCCAAGCAGGACAAGGCGCAUGAACAGGAACAGGGCUUGCGGGGGUCCUGGGCUGCAGCCCCUCAGCUCGUGGGCUCCCCGUCCUGUUUGCCCCCACUCUUCACUCCCUGCCUCAGGCUUGCAUUUAACACCUUCCCCUUCUUCCCUAGUGACCCCGAAUCUCCCUAAAAUCAUCGCCCUCCACCCCCUUCUCCGAUGGACACCCAGAGACCAGAGCCCCCAGCGCACUGCUCAGGGUGCCGGGCACGUCUGGCGCUUUGUAGUCGUGGGAUCACGUGAAUGUCUGUGCUCUGCCUGCCCCUCCUGCUGGCCUGUCAGCAGGGGCCGCAGUGUCACUGACCACAUACCUGGCAGGCUGGUGGGCCAGCUCCGAGGUGGGCAGAGCGCAGAGCUGUACCUGGGCCGCCCAUGCGCCGGGCCCAGGCCCAGACCCGGCCACCCUCCAGGGCUUGUGUACCAGGUCAUCGGAGGACCCCACCAUCCCAAACCAGACUGCACACCCUGUCCAGCUUUUGUGGACUCGGCAACGGGACCCAAGGGGUAUUUCUGGAGACCUUCCCAAAGGAGCCAUCCAGCCAGGGUCUUUGCAGAAGUAAUUGAGGAUCUUGAGGUGGGAGCGUCCUCAAGUAUCCUGCUGAGCCCUCAAUCCAAGGACAACUGACCUCGUAGGAGAAAGAGGAGAUUUGGACAGAAGCGGGAAGACAGAGGCGUGAGUCGGGGGCUGUGGACCACAGGGCAGAGAGCGAAGCCACGUGGCUGCAGAUUCUCCCCUGGAUGCGCAAGGGGAGUGUGACCUUCCUGGACUUCUGAUUUCUGGCCUCCAGAAUGAUAAUUGUAGGUUCACACGCAGUUUCAGAAGACAAUGCAGAAAGCACCCUGCUUUCCCCUAAAGGUGACGUCCCGGGUGAGAAGGACACAGCGUCAUAACCACCCCACUGACAGAACUCCCAGUCAUGCAGACUCAUCAGUGUUUCGUGCCCACCGGCCCUGGCCAUGCUGGAGGAGCCCGCAGGCCCCUCGGGCUCGCCAGUAGGGUCUGUGUCCUGAGGAUGUGCCCUGAGCCAUGGCCACCAGCAGCUGUGAAGCCAGUGUCAGCCGGUAAGGCUGCGAGACCCAGGGUGGGAGGGCAAGCAGGUGCCAGGUGCACUAGGAACCAUCUCAGCUUGUCCUCACAGGGGAGGCACAGAGACUGAUUGAGUUGUGGCUUACAAACUUGAGCAGCUUUCAGUGAUGUUAACGAGAAAAAAUGCAGCUUCAGAUGUUAAAAUGCGGGGCGGUCACCGUGUGGGGACCAGAGCGCAGGGCAGCGCUGGCUGGACCCCCAAGCCCGUGUGUAGGAGCCAUGUCCUUGCUCUGGGCUUCAUCCUGGGAGCGCUCCUGACUGCUCGCCUCAAGGGCGGAUUUUCAGCCCACCGUUUGUCAGUUCUUCUUCUUUAUGGACAAAUUUUAGGGCCACUCAUUUCCCUAAAAUUUUAAGCUGCAUCUGUACAUUUUAAUAUUCAGCCUUUACAUAAUUUUUCAGCUCAACCUAGACAGCAUAUUAAAAAUCAGAGACAUUGCUUUGCCAACAAAGGUCCAUCUAGUCAAGGCUAUGGUUUUUCCAGUGGUCAUGUAUGGAUGUGA
This is a long non-coding RNA of Bos taurus (domestic cattle), 1708 nucleotides long. The record is from Ensembl. NCBI's taxonomy places the organism in Eukaryota, Metazoa, Chordata, Mammalia, Artiodactyla, Bovidae.